GGACGUGAAGGGGAGCCAGCUGUAACAUCUCUCACCCUACUGAUUUCCAGGGUUGAUUUGGAUGAUCUGGCUGGCUUGGCUGGCUAGCCAGGUGCUCCUUCCUCCUCACCCCUCCAUGCGCGUCCCCCAUGAAAUGGGCACUCAGUCUAAGAGAAUGGCUUUCUCUUACAGAGUAAAACCAUUCUUCGAUCAAGGGUAUGUGAGUAUUUGCACCCCCUUGCUAGGACCUCUAAACAAGCUCUCAGAAAUGGAAGUAGGGCUGGAGAGAUGGCUCAGUGAUUAAGAAGAUUUGUGUGCAAUCGUUAGGACUAGAGUUCAGGACCAGCACCUAUGUGA
Molecule: small nuclear RNA, 336 nt
Filed under: Peromyscus maniculatus bairdii (prairie deer mouse)
Lineage: Eukaryota; Metazoa; Chordata; Mammalia; Rodentia; Cricetidae
Description: 7SK RNA (ENSPEMG00000002660.2)
Rfam family: 7SK RNA
About the family: 7SK was discovered as an abundant small nuclear RNA in the mid-70s but a possible function has only recently been suggested. Two independent studies have found that 7SK RNA binds the CDK9/cyclin T complex (known as elongation factor P-TEFb). P-TEFb activates transcription by phosphorylating the C-terminal domain of RNA polymerase II.
Source: RNAcentral